AUCUGGCUGCAGUUCCGCCCUUACCUUUGACCACGGAUGUACUGGCACUGAUGUGAAGGCGGAUGGCGAAAGGCCGGGUCAUUCCGGCCUUUUUGUUU
This 98-nucleotide small RNA is filed under the name Rhizobium sp. BK312. Its description in RNAcentral is "sRNA ar35". It matches the Rfam family "Alphaproteobacterial sRNA ar35". Lineage: Bacteria; Pseudomonadati; Pseudomonadota; Alphaproteobacteria; Hyphomicrobiales; Rhizobiaceae. The record is from RNAcentral.